This 86-nucleotide transfer RNA is filed under the name Candidatus Moranbacteria bacterium CG2_30_41_165. Its description in RNAcentral is "tRNA-Leu". It matches the Rfam family "tRNA". From Rfam's summary of the family: Transfer RNA (tRNA) molecules are approximately 80 nucleotides in length. Their secondary structure includes four short double-helical elements and three loops (D, anti-codon, and T loops). The record is from RNAcentral. RNAcentral also lists the same sequence under 6 other names. Lineage: Bacteria; Candidatus Moraniibacteriota.
GCCGAGGUGGUGGAAUGGUAGACACACGGGACUCAAAAUCCCGCGAUAGCAAUAUCAUGAGGGUUCAAGUCCCUCCCUCGGCACAA